RNAcentral lists this ribosomal RNA (683 nucleotides) under uncultured Bacteroidota bacterium. RNAcentral describes it as "bacterial SSU rRNA". It matches the Rfam family "Bacterial small subunit ribosomal RNA", at positions 44 to 719 of the family's 1533-position model. The record is from RNAcentral. Lineage: Bacteria; Pseudomonadati; Bacteroidota.
GAGCCUACCAUGCAGUUGAGGGGCAGCAUGAAUAAUAGCAAUAUUAUUUGAUGGCGACCAGCGCACGGGUGCGUAACACGUAUGCAAUCUGCCUCGUACUUGGGUAUAACUCCGAGAAAUCGGUGCUAAUCCCCAAUGACACUAUGAAGUGGCAUCACUUUAUAGUUAAAGCUCCGGCGGUACGAGAUGAGCAUGCGCCCAAUUAGCUAGUUGGUGAGGUAACGGCUCACCAAGGCUACGAUUGGUAGGGGUUCUGAGAGGAUGAUCCCCCACACUGGUACUGAGACACGGACCAGACUCCUACGGGAGGCAGCAGUGAGGAAUAUUGCGCAAUGGACGAAAGUCUGACGCAGCCAUGCCGCGUGAAGGAUGAAGGCCCUAUGGGUUGUAAACUUCUUUUGUACGGGAAAAAACGCUCCUACGUGUAGGAGCCUGAUGGUACCGUAAGAAUAAGCACCGGCUAACUCCGUGCCAGCAGCCGCGGUAAUACGGAGGGUGCAAGCGUUAUCCGGAUUUAUUGGGUUUAAAGGGUCCGUAGGCGGGCCGAUAAGUCAGUGGUGAAAGCCCAUAGCUCAACUAUGGAACUGCCAUUGAUACUGUCGGUCUUGAGUACAAGUGAGGUUGGCGGAAUGUGUGGUGUAGCGGUGAAAUGCUUAGAUAUCACACAGAACACCGAUUGCGAA